Long non-coding RNA from Labeo rohita (rohu), 1333 nucleotides. RefSeq lists it as uncharacterized. The transcript has 4 exons. Lineage: Eukaryota; Metazoa; Chordata; Actinopteri; Cypriniformes; Cyprinidae. The record is from RefSeq and is a predicted model, not a curated record.
CCCUCUAGUGCUGGAAGAGUGUCUGGGGGCAGGUCAGUGGGAGUGGGUUUGCCCUCAGCCUGCUCUUCAUUGGGGGUGUUCAUGUUUGAUGGGGAAUGUUUGCUGUUGGUGCAAGUGGAACUAAAUGAAAAAGACAGAAGAUCAGAAAACACCUCUUUCAAACCGUCUCCGAUCCGAUACAUGGUCAUGUCCCUGCGGAAUAUCACGCUGAAGGGGAACAUGUCAAAAAAGAUUCCUCGCUUCAUGGGCAGUUUCUCAUAGCCUGGAGCUGUUUUCUGCUGGGGCAUACGGUGCUUAAACGCGGCAUUGUCAAAAUUCAUCUUGUAGACCUUCAGAGAGAGAGCGAGAAGAUCAGAAACACAGAAUCUCCACCUCGAUGUCUGUGUUGUAAAACUGUCGGCCCACCUGAGAGAGCUGCCCUACAGAGAAGUCACAACAGACGCUAUAUGAAUUUUAAACAGGCUGAGGCUACAAACACUGGACUGACCAGCUUUCAUUGUCCAUUUGCCUCUUCUCCUUCUGUGAGUUUGGCACCCAAUAGAUCUCCUGCCUUCAUUCCCCUGCUCUAAAAAAGCGACCCAGAGAGAAAGACAUAAUGAAGUGGAAAGAUAAAGAGUGAGAUGUGGAAAGAUAAAGGUCAAAGUGGGCAACAGAACGAGAAGAACGCAGCUAGAGAGAGGGAUGGCAACAUUUGGAGGGAGUCAUCAAAGCUGGAUCUUUCUUCAUCAGUGCAUUUUGGUUGCGUGGUAAAAGCUCUGGUUCACGGCCAAACACACUGAGUCAAUGAUGCUCCUAAUCUGGAUUCGGGCACACAUUACAGAGGUCCUGGAGGAAUCUGGACCCCACUCAUCAUUUGAGGGUCUCUUCUCGGCUGAUCUCUCCUCCUGGCAAGGAGCAUUAAUGCGAUGUGGAGGCCUCUAAUUUCCCUGCUCACAACAGGCCUACACUUCACCCUUUGUCUGGCUGAAUUCAGCUGCUGAAUGAUUAGAAUGAGCACCUGAUUACUUUUGUGCAGGUGUCAUCUAAAUAAAUGUGGAGGCUGUUUAGUGACUAGACCAAAAUGGCCUUAAACCAGGAUAAUACCAUUUACCUUCAGCUCUAAAAAAAAAAAAGUGUCAAUAUUUUAUAGCUUUUUUUAAAUUUAACAGUAUAAUUGAUCAAAACUGUGUGUGUCUGUACUUAAAACAUGAAAAAAUAUCUGCCAAAUAUCCCUUUCAGAAAACAAAACUUGUCUUAUAAUGACCUUUUAUAAUAACAUGUUAUGUUUUCAGGUGAAUUUAUCUUGAUUAGAAAUGUUUGUACUGGAUAACAAGACUAAAAAAAAAAGUUUUUU